Molecule: non-coding RNA, 119 nt
Organism: Acyrthosiphon pisum (pea aphid)
Lineage: Eukaryota; Metazoa; Arthropoda; Insecta; Hemiptera; Aphididae
Source: Rfam
GCCAACGACCAUACCACGUUGAAUACACCAGUUCUCGUCCGAUCACUGAAGUUAAACAACGUCGGGCGUCGUUAGUACUUGGAUGGGUGACCGCUUGGGAACACUACGUGCCGUUGGCA